AGUGAACGCUGGCGGUAGGCCUAACACAUGCAAGUCGAACGGCAGCACAGUAAGAGCUUGCUCUUACGGGUGGCGAGUGGCGGACGGGUGAGGAAUACAUCGGAAUCUACUUUUUCGUGGGGGAUAACGUAGGGAAACUUACGCUAAUACCGCAUACGACCUACGGGUGAAAGCAGGGGAUCUUCGGACCUUGCGCGAUUGAAUGAGCCGAUGUCGGAUUAGCUAGUUGGCGGGGUAAAGGCCCACCAAGGCGACGAUCCGUAGCUGGUCUGAGAGGAUGAUCAGCCACACUGGAACUGAGACACGGUCCAGACUCCUACGGGAGGCAGCAGUGGGGAAUAUUGGACAAUGGGCGCAAGCCUGAUCCAGCAAUACCGCGUGGGUGAAGAAGGCCUUCGGGUUGUAAAGCACUUUUGUUGGGAAAGAAAAGCAGCAGGUUAAUACCCCGCUGUUCUGACGGUACCCAAAGAAUAAGCACCGGCUAACUUCGUG
RNAcentral lists this ribosomal RNA (492 nucleotides) under uncultured bacterium. RNAcentral's name for it is "partial 16S ribosomal RNA". It matches the Rfam family "Bacterial small subunit ribosomal RNA", at positions 29 to 507 of the family's 1533-position model. The record is from RNAcentral.